GUUAAUACGUGCGUCUCUUCCUUCGCACAUUGAUCACCCCUGGGAAACCCAUCCCACACUCUCGCGUCUAACGCCCGUCUCGUCUUCCUACAUCGGGCGUGAACAAUUUCUCGUUUUUCUUUCGACUACGCGUCGUUCUUUCGUUCUUCGUCGCGGAUUUCUUUCCUCGCUCACGCGGACGCGGCGGCGGCGGCUUCCUUCGCCUUCUUCUUCUCGCCCUUGAGGUAGAACGUGUACGCGGUGGACACGAGGACCGCGAUGAAACCGACGAUGUACUUCCAGUUCAGCGCCUUAGGGAAGAGCACGAAAGAGAUCACG
Molecule: long non-coding RNA, 318 nt
Filed under: Micromonas pusilla
Lineage: Eukaryota; Viridiplantae; Chlorophyta; Mamiellophyceae; Mamiellales; Mamiellaceae
Description: long non-coding RNA (MPUS_LNC000048)
Source: RNAcentral